Molecule: non-coding RNA, 26 nt
Filed under: Homo sapiens (human)
Lineage: Eukaryota; Metazoa; Chordata; Mammalia; Primates; Hominidae
Source: RNAcentral
UAAGAGGACACCCGAGGAUGACUGAA